This 313-nucleotide ribosomal RNA is filed under the name uncultured Bacteroidales bacterium. RNAcentral's name for it is "partial 16S ribosomal RNA". The record is from RNAcentral. Lineage: Bacteria; Pseudomonadati; Bacteroidota; Bacteroidia; Bacteroidales.
GGAGUCUGGACCGUGUCUCAGUUCCAAUGUGGGGGACCUUCCUCUCAGAACCCCUAACCAUCGUCGGCACGGUGGGCCGUUACCCCGCCGUCUACCUAAUGGUACGCGAGCCAAUCCGUAUGCAAUCAAUCUUUCAAUAAGUCCCCAUGCGAGAACCUAUGUUACGGGGUAUUACGCGACGUUUCCAUCGACUAUCCCCCACAUACGGGCAUGUUGCUCACGCGUUACUCACCCUUUCGCCGGUCGCCGCCAGGUAUUGCUACCCGCGAUGCCCCUCGACUUGCAUGUGUUAAGCCUGCCGCUAGCGUUCAUC